This is a non-coding RNA of Vicugna pacos (alpaca), 3304 nucleotides long. NCBI's taxonomy places the organism in Eukaryota, Metazoa, Chordata, Mammalia, Artiodactyla, Camelidae. The record is from RefSeq and is a predicted model, not a curated record.
AUAUUUCUGUUUUGUUACCAGGCAGUCAGUACAGAUUUCAUUGAAAUAUUGUGUGUUCAUUGGGUUUUGUGCCUCAUCUCACUGGCAGAAGAAUGUAGUGGUUGAUUUGGGGAAUGGAGAUGGCUGGAAAGGAGGUAAAGAGUGAAGAUGGAGAAACAAGAUGGCAGUGAUGAAGAGAACCAGCGAAGAGAGAAGGCCAUGGUGGUGCUGAGAAAGAGUAGAUCUUUUCUUCUUGUUAAGAGCACCAGAGGGAAGAAUCCAGCUGAUCACUAUUUAGGGGCAUCUGGCUCCAGGAAUAACAGACCAUCUGGUGUCCAGCUCCUUCAAAAUGGUGUGCUGGGCAGAGAAAAGACUGCAAAUCAUUGAUCUAAUGUCACAAUUGUGGACAAGUCACUGGACAAUCCUAGUCAUCUGUAGCAGAGAACUACAAGAUUCUAGGAGACACCAUAGAGAACUUGUUCCAGGUCCAUUCUGCCCAUCUCAGGAAUAGAGAUAACCUGAUGGAAGAAGGAUAUGCUUAUCCAUUUUGCACAUAAGGAAUCUGAGGCACAUAGAAGUCAAAUGGAUUGCCAAGAGGGGGAAGCACACAAGAUACCUCCCAAGAUGGACAAAUUUUAAGACUGUGGUAGAAUGUCAAACUCCCAAUUGGGAAGCAGGAAGAGGUUUUCUGUAAAGGUGUUCAAAGGACAUGGAGAGAAAUGGAGGCAGACACGGAGGGAUAGCUAACAUCAAGCGGUGCUGGAGAUACAGAGUAUCAGAAGCCCCAUCUGUUUGAAGUCUACGGUUUAUCAGAGACUCUGCUUGCAGAAAGUCGGUCCCAGGAUUUGACAUUUCCAUCUCCUGCAACAUCUUUUGUGGCGACGAGGAGCAGCGACAUCAAAGGGCAUAAUCUUAAUCCACCUAUCAGGCUGUGGCUCCCCUCCUCCAUGGAGGGUGGCUUGGAUGGAGGGUCCUGAGCCAUAAAGACCAAGCAGCCCCUUAGGUGACAGGUGAUGCUGUCCACAGGAUCUGGCAGAGACCAGCUCUCCAGCCACGAAGGAGCCUGACAAGUCUGAGGCUGACUUUUCUCUGCUGGCUCUCUCUCACCUUCUGGUUACAUCACUCUCUUUGGACCCGCGAAGGUCCAUGAGACAACCACCCAGACUUCCAAAUUAAGGCAGCAGCAGGUAACCUGCAACAUGGUCCGAGAUGGGCAGGAAGAGGUUAAAGAACAUGCCAGAAGGCACUCACAGACAGUACUUGAUGGAGCCAGGGCUGGAACCCAGGUGUCCGGUUCUCAAGAACACACUCUUACGCACUGGGCCUCACCGUCUUCCUGGAUCCUCACUGAGCAUGGAAAGAAAAAGCCAUGUACUAGUCCCAGCUUCGAGUCCUGCAGCCCUGGGCUGAUGGAUUUGAUCUCGUGUUCUCAUCUGUAAAACAGAGGAAACGGCAUCUCUCUCCUGGGGCUGUUAUGAAAACUGGAGGAAAUAAGGUUGAGGGAGACUCCAGUUUGCAGACCUGGCUGUGAACAUCCGAUUACACUGAUCCAGCAUCCCAGCUUAACCCUCUCCUCCCUCUGGUUUGGAUACGUUGAAGAGUGGUACCCUUCUCAGCUGAACGCUGCAGAACUAUGUCAUGGACUCUCUGCCUGGGUUUGCUGGCCUUGCAGACUCCUCAGGCAGGCCUUGCCCUCAGGCGGGGAGAGCGGAGCCAGGUUCUUAUGAAUGAAGAGGAAAGAAUCGUCACAGGACACACCUCACUGCGCCUUUUCUUAGCCGGCUUCCCCGGUAUUGACUUGUGCUAACAAAGAAAGGGAAAUUUCUUGGGUGGAAGUUUCCACACCUUAGGAUAAACUUGCUCAAUCCUGAAGCCUAUGAGGAAUGUUCUGCCCAUAAUCAAUUAUGGGCAACUUAAUUCCUUGCAUUCCAAACAUUGUUAGCCGGGACACAUACCUAAAGGGUGAUUUGCAGAAAGAAAAAUAAAAUAUUUAACACCACGUACUUUUUCCAUUGAAUACUCCAACAUAGUACCUUCUUAAAUUCAAGUUAUCAGAUAUUUUCAUAAAGUUCAGGAUCUUGUCUUCAUUGCUGAGAACUAGCCUCAAAAAAUUUUUUUAAGUAAAUAAGAGUCUCAAAGAAUAAAAAGAAUUUUUAACUUUUUUGAGGGCACAUUUUUGGGGUCAAGGACAAAGCUAGAAACAACUAGAUGUCAUCAGUCUUUCAGUCAAAUACUAUUCCAAGCAGACAGAACUGAAGAGAACUCUCUUCAGUUUAUGGCUGCCUCACUGGAGAUCCAAAACUCACUUUCUGACUGCUGUGGAAUGGCUCACACACAACCCUUAUGGCUAAGGGGGAGCUAGCUAGGUCAACGACGUAACAGAACUCAGCUGGAACCAGGCACUCAGUGUUGUCAAGACUCUCUUUCAGGCUCUUCUGCAUCCCUCUACAUAUGGACCUCAUCCUCUCUCACUGCUGAGUGGCUUUCUCCAUAUUUGGGUAAAACACAGUCACCAACAACACUUGAAUUUGACUUCUUGCAACCUCUACCACCAGAGAUAGUCUAACUGAUCUCUCUCUCCACCCCCCACCCCCCACCUGAUCUCUCUCCUCAAGCCCAAAAGUCCGUGGGCAGAGAAUUCACUGAUUCAGCUUGGGAGACCCAGGGCAUGGUCUACUCUGACCAGACACUUGGAACAAUGAAAUACGGUCAUGGACAAUCAAAAUGGUUUGAAAGGCUGGAGUGUGGAAAUAACCAGUGGCUCAGAUCAUGCCUGGUCCCCUAGAACAGAUCUGGGUUUUACUUUGAAGGUAAUGAAGGAAUCAUGGAACAAUAUUAAGCAAGGUAGUGGCAGAAGAGAGUAUAUAUUAAUGAGCGCACUGUAAUGUGGCAGAGAAGGCUUGAGUGGUUGAGUCAGUUCAGCCAGGCAUCAAUGAGCUACAGUGUCUCCCUUCCACAUGUCUGUGCCUUAGGCAAGACUCAGACACGGAGCAGCCACCACGGGGGCCCCAGCGUUAGCCUUUAGCCAGAUCAACAGCCAGGAUGCUGUGCCCCUUGCAUUGGAUGGGCAGAACCCAGUGGAACACCCUGAUACCUGACCAAGGGGAGAGGGAGGGAACAUUUGUGGUUUCUGCUCUCGAGGAGGCCUUGUCCCCACGCCCUCUCUGCCCCACGCUAGCUGUGAGAGAAUGCACAACAGUGGUACUAGGGAGCAGCCUUCAUUUCUUUCCCUGCAGUUAUAAUGACUCACCCUCAAGUGAGGGGAAAAAAAUAUAUUUAAUUUCAUGUUUAGGUGUGAAGGAAAAGCCGGGCUGGACUAACUCAU